AGCGGCGGGCCUAACACAUGCAAGUCGAACGCGAAAGGUCUUCGGACUGAGUAGAGUGGCGCACGGGUGAGUAACACGUAGGUAAUCUACCCUUUGGCGGGGGAUAACGUUCCGAAAGGAGCGCUAAUACCGCAUAAGACCACGGAGUCUCCGGACGCUGUGGGAAAAGGUGGCCUCUUCUUGAAAGCUACCACCGAAGGAUGAGCCUGCGUCCCAUCAGCUAGUUGGUAAGGUAAUGGCUUACCAAGGCGAAGACGGGUAGCUGGUUUGAGAGAAUGAUCAGCCACACUGGCACUGGAACACGGGCCAGACUCCUACGGGAGGCAGCAGUGAGGAAUAUUGGGCAAUGGGCGAAAGCCUGACCCAGCCACGCCGCGUGAGUGAUGAAGGCCCUCGGGUCGUAAAGCUCUGUGGAGAGGGACGAAAACCCUGGUUUCAAAUAGGCUCCAGGCUUGACGGUACCUCUUUAGCCAAGCACCGGCUAACUCUGUG
This 492-nucleotide ribosomal RNA is filed under the name uncultured bacterium. RNAcentral's name for it is "bacterial SSU rRNA". It matches the Rfam family "Bacterial small subunit ribosomal RNA", at positions 39 to 507 of the family's 1533-position model. The record is from RNAcentral.